UCUGCCGCCAAGGGAGUGUGCGCGUCCAUUCAUUAUUCGCAGUUGCUGCUAAUAUGGUGAGUGGCGUCGUUAGUCUUCAGAAUUCCAUCCCUUUUCUGACUUCUUCGACUACACUUGCUCGUAUACUACAUCAUAGAUGGAUGGAUGACAUGUGGUGUUUAUUCUGAUGCACGCAGGGGAGAAUGGUGAAGGUGGGGCCAUGGGGUGGCAACGGAGGGAAUGCGUGGAAUAUGGGACAAGCCGACCACAUUACCAAACUUCGAAUCUAUUACGGAGAUAACAUUGUGGGGUUGGAGAUUACCUACAUUCUUAACGGUAAUCCCCACACCGGCAAAUAUGGAACCACCACCGGCCCAUCCGAGGAGAUCAUCCUCGAGGAGGACGAGUACUUCACUUCUAUCUCCGGAUAUUUUCAUGCAUUAUCCAAUUAUCAGGGACAUGCAAUUGUGAUGUUGCUUACUCUUGAUACUAACAAGGGUGCAUCCAUAAGUGUAGGCAACAAGAUUGGCAGUUCAUUCGCCCUUACUUUAGAGGAGGGGAGUAAGAUUCUGGGCUUCUUUGGGCGAGCUGGUACAGCCAUUGACGCUAUUGGAAUCCGCUGCUCAUUGCCAAACUAAGUGUAUGCACCGGCACUGGCUCGUGUUCCUAUCUAUCGAAUGGUGUAAUAAAUAAGCAACGAUAACAAUUUAUGGUGCUUGCCAUGAUUGUCAUCAUCGUUGUUAUCCUUCUCAAUCGGUGUUGCUUUGAAUAAAUAAUGAAAUGUUUUCGAAUCCACUUUGA
Long non-coding RNA from Musa acuminata AAA Group (dessert banana), 780 nucleotides. RefSeq lists it as uncharacterized. The record is from RefSeq and is a predicted model, not a curated record. The transcript is spliced from 2 exons. Lineage: Eukaryota; Viridiplantae; Streptophyta; Magnoliopsida; Zingiberales; Musaceae.